ACCAGCGUGGUGUAGUGGUUUGAAUGUUGGACUAUGACUCUGGAGAUCGGGGUUCAAAUCCUAGCUUGGCG
Molecule: non-coding RNA, 71 nt
Organism: Phrynosoma platyrhinos (Desert horned lizard)
Lineage: Eukaryota; Metazoa; Chordata; Lepidosauria; Squamata; Phrynosomatidae
Source: the annotation of a GenBank genome assembly